GACGAACGCUGGCGGCGUGCUUAACACAUGCAAGUCGAGCGGAGCGGCGAACGGGUGAGUAACGCGUGAGUAACUGCCCCCCUCUCUGGGAUAACAGUUGGAAACGGCUGCUAAUACCGGACAGUGGGGGAUGACUCGCGUCCUAUCAGCUUGUUGGUGGGGUAGUGGCCUACCAAGGCGACGACGGGUAGCCGGCCUGGGAGGGGGACCGGCCUCAUUGGGCUGAGAUACGGCGCAAACGCCAACGGGAGGCAGCAGUGGGAAAUAUGGCGCAAUGGGGGAAAGCCUGAGGCAGCAACGCCGGGGGCGGAAUGACGGCCUACGGGUUGUAAACCGCUUUCAGCCAUGACGCGGUAGUGGCAGAAGAAGCACCGGCUAACUACGUGCCAGCAGCCGCGGUAAUUC
RNAcentral lists this ribosomal RNA (405 nucleotides) under uncultured bacterium. Its description in RNAcentral is "partial 16S ribosomal RNA". It matches the Rfam family "Bacterial small subunit ribosomal RNA", at positions 28 to 526 of the family's 1533-position model. The record is from RNAcentral.